RNAcentral lists this ribosomal RNA (253 nucleotides) under uncultured bacterium. Its description in RNAcentral is "partial 16S ribosomal RNA". It matches the Rfam family "Bacterial small subunit ribosomal RNA", at positions 524 to 776 of the family's 1533-position model. The record is from RNAcentral.
GACAGAGGGUGCAAACGUUGCUCGGAUUUACUGGGCGUAAAGCGCGUGUAGGCGGGCGACUAAGUCGGAUGUGAAAUCCCUGGGCUCAACCUAGGAACUGCAUUCGAAACUGGUCACCUAGAGUGAUGGAGAGGAAAGCGGAAUUCCCGGUGUAGAGGUGAAAUUCGUAGAUAUCGGGAGGAACACCAGUGGCGAAGGCGGCUUUCUGGACAUUUACUGACGCUGAGACGCGAAAGCGUGGGGAGCAAACAGG